ACGGGGUGCAGCAGGCGCGAAAACUUUGCAAUACACGAAAGUGUGACAGGGCUAUCCCGAGUGCCAUCCGCUGAGGAAGGUUUUUACCCAGUCUAGAACGCUGGGGGAAUAAGGAGAGGGCAAGUCUGGUGUCAGCCGCCGCGGUAAUACCAGCUCUCCGAGUGGUGUGGAUGUUUAUUGGGCCUAAAGCAUCCGUAGCCGGCUUAGCAAGUCUUUCGUUAAAUCCGACGAUUUAAUCGCUGGGCCGCGGAAGAUACUACUAGGCUUGAGGACGGGAGAGGUUGACGGUAGUCCCAGGGUAGGGGUGAAAUCCUAUAAUCCUAGGGGGACGACCAGUGGCGAAGGCGUCUAGCUAGGACGGGUCUGACGGUGAGGAACGAAGCCCUGGGGCGCAAACGGGAUUAGAUACCCGGGUAGUCCAGGGUGUAAACGCUGCUUGCUUGAUGUUAGCUGGGCUCCGAGCUCAGCUAGUGUCGGAGAGAAGUUGUUAAGCAAGCUGCCUGGGAAGUACGGCCGUAAGACUGAAACUUAAAGGAAUUGGCGGGGGAGCAC
RNAcentral lists this ribosomal RNA (552 nucleotides) under uncultured archaeon. RNAcentral's name for it is "bacterial SSU rRNA". It matches the Rfam family "Archaeal small subunit ribosomal RNA", at positions 325 to 879 of the family's 1478-position model. The record is from RNAcentral.